Molecule: ribosomal RNA, 326 nt
Filed under: uncultured eukaryote
Lineage: Eukaryota
Description: partial 18S ribosomal RNA
Rfam family: Eukaryotic small subunit ribosomal RNA
Source: RNAcentral
CCCUUAGAUGUUCUGGGCCGCACGCGCGCUACACUGAUGCAUUCAACAAACCUAGCCUUGACCGAGAGGUCCGGGUAAUCUUUGAAACUGCAUCGUGAUGGGGCUAGAUUAUUGCAAUUAUUAAUCUUCAACGAGGAAUGCCUAGUAAGCGUGAUUCAUCAAAUCGCGUUGAUUACGUCCCUGCCCUUUGUACACACCGCCCGUCGCUCCUACCGAUUGAAUGUGUUGGUGAGGAGCUCGGAUUGGCAGCAGUUGGUGGUUCGCCACCGGCUAUUGCUGAGAAGUCCUCCAAACCGCCCCAUUUAGAGGAAGGAGAAGUCGUAACA